This 992-nucleotide ribosomal RNA is filed under the name uncultured bacterium. RNAcentral describes it as "bacterial SSU rRNA". It matches the Rfam family "Bacterial small subunit ribosomal RNA", at positions 8 to 1010 of the family's 1533-position model. The record is from RNAcentral.
AGAGUUUGAUCAUGGCUCAGAACGAACGUUGGCGGCGUGGAUCAGGCAUGCAAGUCGAACGAAUCCCUGGGGCAACUCAGGGGGAAGUGGCGAAAGGGGCAGUAAGGCAUGGGUAACUUGCCUCGGGGACCGGGAUAGCCAUCCCAACGGAUGGGUAAUACCGGGCGUCGUGUCCGGAGGGCAUCCUCUGGCCACGAAAGGAGUUUCGCCCCGAGAGAGGCUCAUGUGGUAUUAGCUUGUUGGUGAGGUAACGGCCCACCAAGGCCAAGAUGCCUAGCAGGUGUGAGAGCACGACCUGCGCCACUGGCACUGUGACACUGGCCAGACUCCUACGGGAGGCUGCAGUCGAGGAUCUUCGGCAAUGAGCGCAAGCUUGACCGAGCGACGCCGCGUGUGCGAUGAAGGCCUUCGGGUUGUAAAGCACUGUCGAGGGGGAGAAAGGCCGCAAGGCUUGAUCGGCCCCUGGAGGAAGCACGGGCUAAGUUCGUGCCAGCAGCCGCGGUAAGACGAACCGUGCGAACGUUGUUCGGAAUCACUGGGCUUAAAGGGCGCGUAGGCGGGUGAUCAAGUCCGAGGUGAAAUCCUGCAGCUCAACUGUAGAAGAGCCCCGGAUACUGGUUGUCUCGAGGGAGGUAGGGGCGUGUGGAACUUCCGGUGGAGCGGUGAAAUGCGUAGAUAUCGGAAGGAACGCCGGUGGCGAAAGCGACGCGCUGGACCUCUUCUGACGCUGAGGCGCGAAAGCCAGGGGAGCAAACGGGAUUAGAUACCCCGGUAGUCCUGGCCCUAAACGAUGGGUACCAGGUAGUGGACUUGACAUGGGUUCACUGCCGGAGCAAAAGUGUUCAGUACCCCGCCUGGGGAGUAUGGUCGCAAGGCUGAAACUCAAAGGAAUUGACGGGGCUCACACAAGCGGUGGAGCAUGUGGCUUAAUUCGAGGCUACGCGAAGAACCUUAUCCUGGGCUUGACAUGUGCGAAAGCGGCAGGGAGUAGC